UUAAUUGAAACCAAAAAAGCGGUAUAUUACUGUUAAUAAUAUUAGUGAAAUCUAUUUCCAAUUAAG
This 66-nucleotide transfer RNA is filed under the name Phlugiolopsis brevis. RNAcentral's name for it is "tRNA-Asn". The record is from RNAcentral. Lineage: Eukaryota; Metazoa; Arthropoda; Insecta; Orthoptera; Tettigoniidae.